Molecule: ribosomal RNA, 540 nt
Filed under: uncultured bacterium
Lineage: Bacteria
Description: bacterial SSU rRNA
Rfam family: Bacterial small subunit ribosomal RNA
Source: RNAcentral
AAUAGAUACCCGGGUAGUCCACGCCGUAAACGAUGAGUGCUAGGUGUCGGGGGGGUCCACCCCUCGGUGCCGAAGUUAACACAUUAAGCACUCCGCCUGGGGAGUACGGUCGCAAGACUGAAACUCAAAGGAAUUGACGGGGACCCGCACAAGCAGUGGAGUAUGUGGUUUAAUUCGAAGCAACGCGAAGAACCUUACCAGGUCUUGACAUCCCUCUGAACACGUUAGAGAUAGCGUAGGCCUUCGGGACAGAGGAGACAGGUGGUGCAUGGUUGUCGUCAGCUCGUGUCGUGAGAUGUUGGGUUAAGUCCCGCAACGAGCGCAACCCUUGGGUUUAGUUGCCAGCACGUUAUGGUGGGCACUCUAGGCUGACUGCCGGUGACAAACCGGAGGAAGGCGGGGAUGACGUCAAAUCAUCAUGCCCCUUAUGACCUGGGCUACACACGUACUACAAUGGCCGGUACAACGGGCAGCGAAAGGGCGACCUGGAGCGAAUCCGUACCAAAGCCGGUCUCAGUUCGGAUUGCAGGCUGCAACUCG